This 1302-nucleotide ribosomal RNA is filed under the name Salmonella enterica subsp. enterica serovar Newport. RNAcentral describes it as "partial 23S ribosomal RNA". It matches the Rfam family "Bacterial large subunit ribosomal RNA", at positions 161 to 1418 of the family's 2925-position model. The record is from RNAcentral. Lineage: Bacteria; Pseudomonadati; Pseudomonadota; Gammaproteobacteria; Enterobacterales; Enterobacteriaceae.
AAUCCAUAGGUUAAUGAGGCGAACCGGGGGAACUGAAACAUCUAAGUACCCCGAGGAAAAGAAAUCAACCGAGAUUCCCCCAGUAGCGGCGAGCGAACGGGGAGGAGCCCAGAGCCUGAAUCAGCAUGUGUGUUAGUGGAAGCGUCUGGAAAGGCGCGCGAUACAGGGUGACAGCCCCGUACACAAAAGCGCAUGUGCUGUGAGCUCGAUGAGUAGGGCGGGACACGUGGUAUCCUGUCUGAAUAUGGGGGGACCAUCCUCCAAGGCUAAAUACUCCUGACUGACCGAUAGUGAACCAGUACCGUGAGGGAAAGGCGAAAAGAACCCCGGCGAGGGGAGUGAAAAAGAACCUGAAACCGUGUACGUACAAGCAGUGGGAGCACAGGUUUACCUGUGUGACUGCGUACCUUUUGUAUAAUGGGUCAGCGACUUAUAUUCUGUAGCAAGGUUAACCGAAUAGGGGAGCCGUAGGGAAACCGAGUCUUAACCGGGCGUUAAGUUGCAGGGUAUAGACCCGAAACCCGGUGAUCUAGCCAUGGGCAGGUUGAAGGUUGGGUAACACUAACUGGAGGACCGAACCGACUAAUGUUGAAAAAUUAGCGGAUGACCUGUGGCUGGGGGUGAAAGGCCAAUCAAACCGGGAGAUAGCUGGUUCUCCCCGAAAGCUAUUUAGGUAGCGCCUCGUGAACUCAUCUCCGGGGGUAGAGCACUGUUUCGGCUAGGGGGCCAUCCCGGCUUACCAACCCGAUGCAAACUGCGAAUACCGGAGAAUGUUAUCACGGGAGACACACGGCGGGUGCUAACGUCCGUCGUGAAGAGGGAAACAACCCAGACCGCCAGCUAAGGUCCCAAAGUCAUGGUUAAGUGGGAAACGAUGUGGGAAGGCCCAGACAGCCAGGAUGUUGGCUUAGAAGCAGCCAUCAUUUAAAGAAAGCGUAAUAGCUCACUGGUCGAGUCGGCCUGCGCGGAAGAUGUAACGGGGCUAAACCAUGCACCGAAGCUGCGGCAGCGAACGUAUCACUUAAAGCGAUUCAGCGGGUUACGAUUGACGGAGCGAAGCGACGUCAAAGCGUAUACAAAGUCGAGUCGGUUUAAGGAUACGUUCGUUGGGUAGGGGAGCGUUCUGUAAGCCUGCGAAGGUGGCCUGUGAGGGUUGCUGGAGGUAUCAGAAGUGCGAAUGCUGACAUAAGUAACGAUAAAGCGGGUGAAAAGCCCGCUCGCCGGAAGACCAAGGGUUCCUGUCCAACGUUAAUCGGGGCAGGGUGAGUCGACCCCUAAGGCGAGGCCGAAAGGCGUAGUCGA